Long non-coding RNA from Phascolarctos cinereus (koala), 1640 nucleotides. NCBI's taxonomy places the organism in Eukaryota, Metazoa, Chordata, Mammalia, Diprotodontia, Phascolarctidae. The record is from Ensembl.
AUGGUUGCCUACCUCCAGCCCACGUCCUCUGCCCCGCUUCCGGCCGCCGCGCCCUGCCUCCGAGAGCCCUUCUUCCUUCCCUUUCCUCUCGUUUCCAGUCCUCCUCGGGGCGUUCCCAUGGCUGCUGCCGUAGGCACUUGGGCUUUCUCGAUGCCGGCUGUGCGGAAGGUGGGCUCGCUGCUCAAGAACGGGGCUGGGGCUACGGACUCUCUGCAGGAGGCGACGGCAGAAAUCGAGAAUGGUGAGAAAACUGGUCAAUACAUAGUUGAACAAGGAGGCUACCCAAAUAAAGAUGGGCUCGUUCAAUGUGGUGCAGCUGUCAUGGAAGGUCUCCCCAGUCGAUUUGGAGCAAUGGCGGCCUUACAUGGUCUAGGUCUGGUGAAGUGAGCAGAACCAAGAGGACUUUGUACACAAUAACAGCCAUGUUAUGCAAUGACUAAGAAUGUUAAACUGAACCCUUCUCAGCAUUACCAGGAUCUAAGACAUCUCCAGAGGCCUCGGGAUGGAAAAUGCUGUCUACAUCCAAAGAAAGAACUAUGGAAGUCGAACCGCUAUCACUUAUUUUUUUACCUUCUGUUGAGUUUUGUUUCAUCUUUCUGAUGGUUCCUCCUAUUGGUUUUAAUUUUUACUUACAACUUCACUAAUGUGAAAAUAUGUUUAAUGGGUAUGUAAAUGUAAAGCCUAUGUCAGAUUGUGCUCUGUCUGGGGGAGGGUGGGGGGGGGAAAGGGAGAAAAAUUUUUGACUCAAAAGCAUAUGGGAAAAAAAAAGUUAAAAAAAAAGUCUAGGUCUGGAUAACUAGAUCUAAAGGAAUAGCACCAGUUCCUUCAUUGGUCUUAGGGUUUAUCGAAAGAAAGAAGAAUGAGAAAAAGAAAUAGGCUACAGAGUGAAUAGGAACAAAAAGUAGCGCUUUCUCUUACUAAUCAGAGUAUAAUAGAAUAAGAAAAAGAGAGCUGGAGGAAAGACUGGUUGGCAUGGCUGUUGGGAAAAAACUAAGAGACCAACCCUAUAAUUAAAUAGUCCUGGUCCAGUAUCACAGUGUUUUGCACAUAACAAGACCUUUAAUGAGUGGUUUUUCAUUCAUUCAUUUACUCAUUCAUUCAUUCACAGAUAAUGAACAAAUAUUCCAUUCUUAAUGGAAUCAAAAUACCAAACCCGAACCAUGUUGCCUGAUCUUAAAUACAGGACUUCCACCUCUGAUAUUUCAUCAGUUUUUGUUCAGUCAUUUCAGUCUUGUCCAAUUCUUCAUGACCCCAUUGGGGGUUUUCUUGGCAAAGAUACUGGAGCGGUUUGCCAUUUCCUUCUCUAGCUCAUUUGAGAAAUGAGGAAACUGAAGCAAACAGGGUUAAGUGACUUGCCCAGAGUCACACAGCUAGGAAGUGUCUGAGGCUGGAUUUGAACACAGCAAGAUGAGUGGCUCAACACUUUAUCCACUGCACCACCUAGCUUCCCAACUCAGAAUUACUCACAAGAAAAAGCCACAGUAAGGGAUUUUGCAAUGAAGUUAUUAACACCUACUUUAUUUCACUUAUUCCUUAUGUUAAGGACUUGCCUUCAAGAGGCAAGUAGACCCUUCCCCCCUUACUAAGUGCCUACUAGAUUAAUUAAUAAACCAAUUAUUAUCUAUAUUAAUGUUAUUAAA